UACGGGGGGAGCAAGCGUUGUUCGGAUUUACUGGGCGUAAAGGGCGCGUAGGCGGUCAACACAAGUCAGUUGUGAAAUCUCCGGGCUUAACUCGGAAAGGUCAACUGAUACUGUGCGACUAGAGUGCAGAAGGGGCAACUGGAAUUCUCGGUGUAGCGGUGAAAUGCGUAGAUAUCGAGAGGAACACCUGCGGCGAAGGCGGGUUGCUGGGCUGACACUGACGCUGAUGCGCGAAAGCCAGGGGAGCGAACGGG
RNAcentral lists this ribosomal RNA (254 nucleotides) under uncultured bacterium. RNAcentral describes it as "partial 16S ribosomal RNA". It matches the Rfam family "Bacterial small subunit ribosomal RNA", at positions 524 to 776 of the family's 1533-position model. The record is from RNAcentral.